AAGACUAUACUUUCAGGGAUCAUUUCUAUAGUUCUUUACUAAAAUAUUGAUAUUUCUGGGUGGAGGGUAGAUAGCAUAGUGGUUAUGC
This 88-nucleotide small nucleolar RNA is filed under the name Erinaceus europaeus (western European hedgehog). Its description in RNAcentral is "Small nucleolar RNA U3". The stretch from base 1 to 41 matches the Rfam family "Small nucleolar RNA U3", at positions 1 to 41 of the family's 219-position model. Lineage: Eukaryota; Metazoa; Chordata; Mammalia; Eulipotyphla; Erinaceidae. The record is from Rfam by way of RNAcentral.